RNAcentral lists this long non-coding RNA (1552 nucleotides) under Dermacentor andersoni. Its description in RNAcentral is "uncharacterized LOC126520189". The record is from RNAcentral. Lineage: Eukaryota; Metazoa; Arthropoda; Arachnida; Ixodida; Ixodidae.
UUAUUAUUGUCUGUUAACUCCGUUAACUCACUAUCAUGCACUUUUUUUGCAGAAGACACGAUGGAAGAAACUAGGGGGAACUGGCAUCGUAGAUGCUACAAGGAGGGUCUUGAAGGACCUGCUUUCUGAUCACGUGGCUACGCACUACGGUUGGCAGGGAGGAAAAGGCAAGCGCCACUUCAGGGAGACAGCAUGCUGCGAAGUGAUGCUAGAUGUCCUAACAAGCAGAACUACUUGUGAUGGAACAGUGGCUGAAAUAGAGAAAGUGACAAAGUCAUGGUUGCGACACGCAAAAGAAAGAAUGGAGCGCAAUACAGUUAAGCAGCCAGAUAAUGGCAGAACCAAUGACGAAGCCGCACUUCCAACUGACCUGCGAGAAGCAAGCAUCAUGGAGGAAACGUCCCACAGGCUGCUGGACAUAGAAGCGGACAAUGACGAUUCUGACCUGUAAAUUUAGCUGAGUGUUUUCCAUGUUGUAUGCCAUUAGUCGUGUACAGUAUUUUGCAAACAAUCUUGCUUUGCACAUUUUCUCGGGUGCCCCACAUUGUACUGAUUAUUUUGUACUUAUUGCUGACUUUUAAAUGGGGUAAACUGCUUCUUUUGAUUUUUUUCGCAUUAUUGGUUCCUUGUGUUGCAGCGGUGUCUUGUGUUUCCUUAGACUACCAAGAGCACUGGCAGUAUAAACUAUUUUUACUGCAUAAUGUGUGUCCAUCCCCUUGUACUUCAUCUUAGCCUGUCGUCCUAUUAGCGGAUCAGGUUACGGCUUGUUUCUCAAGUUUUAUGGCUGCCCCAAACUAGCAAAUGUACCUCACCUGAAUACUAAAAGCUUACCAGCUGUUGCAAGUGUUCUGUAAAGCCUUUCUUAUUUUUAUGUAGGAUGCUGAUCAAGAAUGCAGUGGUUAAUACCCUUCUAUGGAGGCCCUCCAAUCAAUGGUGUCGACCAAAUGUUGCGUUAUUCCCAUUUACCGCCACCAAGCUACUUUUAGUCACCUGCGAUUUCAUGCGAGGGGAUUAAUCGCUACAUUGUGGGAACUGGUCGAUGACAUUGGCUGAAAGGCCUCAUUUGAAUGUCCUUUGUUGCUGUGUUCGUAGUUGUAUCUAUUUUUGUUUUUAAUUCAGAUCAUUCAAUUGACGUUUUUAGCAUUGUAUUUUCGAUGUUGUCCUUUUCUUGCACAUUUCCUGGUAGGCUUUUUCAAUACGUCAGGAAUGUUAUAUCUUGGUAUAUUACAAGCACCAAUAUAGCUGCCGCAUUUUGAUAUUACGAAUGCCGUGAAAUUUCCUUCUGUCACAAGGUGUGCACAGACUUUGGUCUGCUUUUGCUAGCCAGAAAGAAGUUCCUGUCUUUCGGCCCUCUCUUUACCGUGGUCGCCCCACUCCUAGUCAGAUAAAUUUUUUGUAGCAGCUAGCCUGAGCUGUUGACAUGAAAACAGUGUCUGUGUGAUGCGUGAAACUAGUCCUUUCCGCUUCUUGUGAACUGUUAUUGCAUUUAUUUACAUCACAAGCGUGUCGAUCACUACCAAUAAAAAAAGGGCCUUUAUGAUGUGUGCACAAC